GAUGAACGCUGGCGGCGUGCCUAAUACAUGCAAGUCGAGCGAACAGACGAGGAGCUUGCUCCUCUGACGUUAGCGGCGGACGGGUGAGUAACACGUGGAUAACCUACCUAUAAGACUGGGAUAACUUCGGGAAACCGGAGCUAAUACCGGAUAACAUGUUGAACCGCAUGGUUCAACAGUGAAAGACGGUCUUGCUGUCACUUAUAGAUGGAUCCGCGCCGCAUUAGCUAGUCGGUAAGGUAACGGCUUACCAAGGCAACGAUGCGUAGCCGACCUGAGAGGGUGAUCGGCCACACUGGAACUGAGACACGGUCCAGACUCCUACGGGAGGCAGCAGUAGGGAAUCUUCCGCAAUGGGCGAAAGCCUGACGGAGCAACGCCGCGUGAGUGAUGAAGGUCUUCGGAUCGUAAAACUCUGUUAUUAGGGAAGAACAAAUGUGUAAGUAACUAUGCACGUCUUGACGGUACCUAAUCAGAAAGCCACGGCUAACUACGUG
This 497-nucleotide ribosomal RNA is filed under the name uncultured bacterium. RNAcentral describes it as "partial 16S ribosomal RNA". It matches the Rfam family "Bacterial small subunit ribosomal RNA", at positions 28 to 507 of the family's 1533-position model. The record is from RNAcentral.